UGAGCAGGCACAUGUACUGCUCUAACACAAAUUUCACAUCCUAACUUUCUGAUUUUACAUCCUACACUGCUCCAGUUCAAAGAACUCGAUUCUUCUGUCUUCUUCGUUAGUUUCAGAACUUCUUUCACCUCUUUUCUCUAUUUUUUACUCUUUCAAAGUACGACUUUUUUCUGUUGAUGGGUCUAUGAUGGUGAUUUACUGCAUGAGAGCCCUGAGAAUACUUAAAAUUGGGUUCUCUAAUGGAAAUGGAGUAUUGAUGUAUACGUAACUGGCGGUGAAUUUGAGGUGGACCGUGCACCUAAGUUGUUUGACUAUAUGUCUGCAAGGAGUUUGGGUCAUUUUUUCCCCUCACUCUUUAGACAGAGACAGCUUCUUACUGAUCUCACUGAAUAGAUAGGACCAAGAAAUGCAUUAUAGAGACUUGAACAACAAUUGUUCUUUGGCACUUGGCACAAUGAUGGACUUUAUUGUUGACGUCGAGUCUCUUGGUAAACAGAUACUAAUUACAUUUCUAGAGAGAAGUAAGGAUGAGUUUACCAAUAAAUAUAGAGGAGGCAAAGCUGCUACAGCUGUUUCUAGCAGCUUGAAGAGGGAAUUUGGAUAAUGUACAUUUCUUUUGUUAUUCUCUACUUCCUCCUCUAUGCUUGAGGCUAUUGAGAGUGAUAACCGCCUUCACCAUAACAAUAACAUACAACAAUAAACUUAAGUAGCAAAUGCCAUAUUGUGUGGAUCAUCCAGAGGAAGUUAGUAAGCUUGCUAGGUGAAGGCUCAGGUUUCAAAAGUUAAAGGUGCGAUAAUGGAAAACAUUGAGAAAGUAGACUAUACUAACAUCCUUUUUUGAUUGUACUCUUUCAAAAGACUAGAUUUCUUCAUUUGACACCGGAAAGACGCCAAGAAAUUGUGUGUGGCUGGUUAAUGUGAAUUAUAGCCUUGCGCAUGUUCUUGUGCGAGGGAAGAAGAUCAAGCUUUGUAGAUGAAUCUGCUGUUACUUUUAUGCUUCUGUUCGGUUUUUAUCCUAAUUGGAAGAUACUUCUUACAUAAAAAGAGUACGUUGGGUACCUUGCAUUCUAACCUAAAAAGUCACAGUUGCUCCACUAUU
Molecule: long non-coding RNA, 1099 nt
Organism: Nicotiana tabacum (common tobacco)
Lineage: Eukaryota; Viridiplantae; Streptophyta; Magnoliopsida; Solanales; Solanaceae
Source: RefSeq, a predicted model, not a curated record